Long non-coding RNA from Oncorhynchus tshawytscha (Chinook salmon), 524 nucleotides. The record is from Ensembl. NCBI's taxonomy places the organism in Eukaryota, Metazoa, Chordata, Actinopteri, Salmoniformes, Salmonidae.
CAGAAACCACCCUAGACCACAGAAACCACCCUAGACCACAGAAACCAACCUAGACCACAGAAACCACCCUAGACCACAGAAACCACCCUAGACCACAGAAACCACCCUAGAUAGAGGAUCUCAGACCACAGAAACCACCCUAGAUAGAGGAUCUCAGACCACAUGAGAUUCUGUGAAAGGGACUGAAGAGGAUUUCAAAGCUUCCUUGUGACAGCAGGGUGACAGCAGGGUGACAGCAAGGUGACAGCAGGGUGACAACAAGGUGACAGCAGGGUGACAACAGGGUGACAGCAAGGUGACAGCAGGGUGACAGCAGGGUGACAGCAGGGUGACAGCAAGGUGACAGCAGGGUGACAACAAGGUGACAACAAGGUGACAGCAGGGUGACAACAAGGUGACAGCAGGGUGACAACAGGGUGACAGCAGGGUGACAGCAGAGUGACAGCAGGGUGACAGCAGGGUGACAACAAGGUGAAAGCAGGGUGACAGCAGGGUGACAACAAGGUGACAGCAGGGUGACAGCA